UACGAAGGGGGCUAGCGUUGUUCGGAAUUACUGGGCGUAAAGGGCGCGUAGGCUGUGCUGUAAGUCAGGCGUGAAAGCCCCGGGCUCAACCUGGGAAUUGCGCUUGAUACUGCGGCGCUGGAAGGUGGGAGAGGAUGGCGGAAUUCCCAGUGUAGAGGUGAAAUUCGUAGAUAUUGGGAAGAACACCGGUGGCGAAGGCGGCUAUCUGGACCGACAUUGACGCUGAGGCGCGAAAGCGUGGGGAGCAAACAGG
RNAcentral lists this ribosomal RNA (253 nucleotides) under uncultured bacterium. RNAcentral describes it as "partial 16S ribosomal RNA". It matches the Rfam family "Bacterial small subunit ribosomal RNA", at positions 524 to 776 of the family's 1533-position model. The record is from RNAcentral.